UUUCAGCUUGGCCCGGCCGUUGGCCAGGACGUCGUCGGUCUCGGCGGCGAAGCCGACGACCACCUGUCCGGAGCGGGCCCGGGUCUGGGAG
This 91-nucleotide transfer RNA is filed under the name Streptomyces coelicolor. RNAcentral describes it as "tRNA-Thr". The record is from RNAcentral. RNAcentral also lists the same sequence under 4 other names. Lineage: Bacteria; Bacillati; Actinomycetota; Actinomycetes; Kitasatosporales; Streptomycetaceae.